UGUAUGUACAAUUGAAGGGCUACACGAGGUAAAGUUUUCAUGAGACCAAAGUGGCGGAAACCGCAGCUUGAAAAGCGCUUAUAGAAAAGUCUCAGGGUCGUAACCGCGAUGGCGUCGCGUCCCCAACAAGGAGAUGGCGAAAAUCGAUUAUGUGAAAGCUGAAGAAAUGAGGACCGCUUUCAGAAGAGCGACGCGUUCUUCCUCCGGUCGCCACCACUGCAUUCGAACCAAGGUGUUGCAUUUUAUGGCUUUAUGUAUUUCAUCUCAGAACUUCAAUCUCCUCGGCAUCUCGUUCACGUCUUGUGUGAUUCGGCCGAUUCAAGCCUCGAGGACGUGGCUUUUGUCAUAGCGGUUUCGGACUCCAGUUUGCGUUUCGGAUUGUGUUCAGUAUCGAAGUUUUCGGUAACGCUCAUGGUUCAUUUUUAACAAGUUGGGUUCACAUCGAGUUUUGAUGCUAAAAGUAAACAACGAUAAAUUAAGCUAGCUUCAAAGUACUUACCGAAUCGGUCUUCCAGCACGGCGACACCCCGGAGUCAAUCCAGGUAGUUCGUUCUUGGAAAUUUCUUCCUCGAUCUCUUCUUCUCCCUUUGUGUGAGUUUUCUUUUCUCUUCUUGUGUGCGAGAUUCGCGAGAAACUGUUGUGAGUUUAAGCGAAUUCUUGAUGCUCUACACUUGAACGUUUGUGAUGUAACAAGGUGAUUGAGGGAGAAAGGAGCUUAUGAUCAAGGGUGAAUGCGAAGGACUGAAGCACAAAUGAGGAACAAUCACAGACACUGAGAGAAUUGAAGCAUCAAUCCCAAAAUGCAGUGAAGACUCCAAUUCUGAUUUUUCUGGUGAAGAUUGAAGAAAAAUUGUAGAUUGAAGAAGGGUGAAGAAGGGUGAAGAAGAUGAAGAUGACUGAAGAAUGAAGAAAAACUGAACAUAAUGUGGAAAGAAAAGGUGACUAAUCAAUUGAAGCUAUAUGGAAUGGCUAUUCGUGGAUUGAAGACGACUUGUUAGUGCAAGUUCUACCGCAAGUCAUAUGUUCUGAUCAAGUACUUGGCAAAUGUUGUGAUUGCUUCCGAGGAUUAAUGCAUGUUGGCCUACUCAACUGAAAUCCUAAUGAUGUUAAAGCCUCUCCACACGGCUACUGAUUGUAAUUGGAAAAGGAUAACAAAAUGGUGGUGACCCUGUAGAGGUCACAGCAGCGACCACGAAACUAUGAUGAUUCGGAGGCGCUUUGAUGAAGAUGCAGGAGCAACAGUAGUUCUAGUGUCUGUUAUGGUGUAUUAACAUUAUUAUAAGCAGGCAUACUGGUAUCUUUCCGAGUAGUACAUCUGACAAAGCAUUUCAUGGUCUUACUGAACAAAAUCCAUGUCCCUUGAUAAGCUAUAUCAUAUACCUCAGUGUCCUGUGAAGAAACUUCUUUUGCUAAAGGUAGAGGUUUAAAAAAUUUAGAAGUUGUUGAUCCGGGACUACCAAUAUCCUCUUCCUUGUUGUGUUCAUGAAUACUACAUAGGUUAGUGGGAAGUGGCAUCAACUCUAUGUUAGGUUCAUCAGAAGAAAAAAGUUUCAAUGAUACUGGCCGAAUAACCUUCCGAGAGACAUACAUUUUUGUACUGUAUGAAAUGUCUAUACAUAUAUAAUUGUAAUGGAGUAGCAAACAAAUUCGACUAUCUUCAGUGGUAAAUGAUUUAAUAAUAAUGCAUUAUUGUGUUAGUAUGAA
Lathyrus oleraceus (garden pea) is the source of this 1704-nucleotide long non-coding RNA. RefSeq lists it as uncharacterized. Lineage: Eukaryota; Viridiplantae; Streptophyta; Magnoliopsida; Fabales; Fabaceae. The transcript is spliced from 3 exons. The record is from RefSeq and is a predicted model, not a curated record.